AACGCUGGCGGCGUGCCUAACACAUGCAAGUUGAGCGGUAAGGCCCCUUCGGGGGUACACGAGCAGCGAACGGGUGAGUAUCGCGUGGGUAAUCUACCUAGAGGUGGGGGAUAGCCUCGGGAAACCGAGGAUAAUACCGCAUAAGUCCUCAACGGCAUAAGUCGAUGAGGGGAAAGGCGGGGAUCCUUCGGGACCUGUCGCCUCCGGAUGAGCCCGCGUCCGAUUAGCUUGUUGGUGGGGUAAUGGCCUACCAAGGCGACGAUCGGUAGCCGGCCUGAGAGGGUGAACGGCCACAUUGGGACUGAGACACGGCCCAGACUCCUACGGGAGGCAGCAGUGGGGAAUUUUGGGCAAUGGGGGAAACCCUGACCCAGCGACGCCGCGUGGAGGAUGACGGCCUUCGGGUUGUAAACUCCUGUCA
Molecule: ribosomal RNA, 421 nt
Filed under: uncultured Actinomycetes bacterium
Lineage: Bacteria; Bacillati; Actinomycetota; Actinomycetes
Description: bacterial SSU rRNA
Rfam family: Bacterial small subunit ribosomal RNA
Source: RNAcentral